GCACAGACAUGGAAUGGGAAGAAAUAUGCAAGACGGUCCUUGUGUCUGCAGGAGCUGGUGGAACUGUGAUUCUGACUCCUGCCAUUCUGGCUUCACUGGGGUUCACUUCAGCUGGAAUAGCAGCAGGAGGUCUCGUAGCAACCUUGCAGUCCUGGAGUGCAGCAGGUAUGUCAUGGGCUGCCACUGCAUUAUUUGGCGGUGUUGGUGGAGCAGCGGCUUGGGUGCUCUCAACUGUGUGUAACGUGACUGUGGUUUAUGAAGAUUAACACGUAAAAAAACACAAACUGACCUACAAAUGUUUUCUCCUGUGACAAAUUUUAAUCGCCUGGAUGAAACGUUAUUCUUAUGUGUGAAUGUCGAACACUGAGAUUAAAGCAUAUUUUGAGAAUUAAGUUACAAAAAUGGUUCAUAAAAAUUUCAUUCAGAUUUUAUCCAUCAUUAAAAACAAAAACAAAAAACAACUGAUAUGGUGCCUUUAUUCUCUUCAUUAAUUCAAUGUGAAAAUUAAAAGUCAUGCAAAAAU
Molecule: long non-coding RNA, 523 nt
Organism: Astatotilapia calliptera (eastern happy)
Lineage: Eukaryota; Metazoa; Chordata; Actinopteri; Cichliformes; Cichlidae
Source: Ensembl